Molecule: ribosomal RNA, 460 nt
Filed under: uncultured bacterium
Lineage: Bacteria
Description: partial 16S ribosomal RNA
Rfam family: Bacterial small subunit ribosomal RNA
Source: RNAcentral
CCUACGGGAGGCAGCAGUGAGGAAUAUUUGUCAAUGGCCGUAAGGCUGAACCAGCCCAGUCGCGUGUAGGAAGAAGGACCUAUGGUUUGUAAACUUCUUUUAUCGGGGAAUAAAGGUCUCCACGUGUGGAUCUUUGCGUGUACCCUAUGAAUAAGCAUCGGCUAACUCCGUGCCAGCAGCCGCGGUAAUACGGAGGAUGCGAGCGUUAUCCGGAUUUAUUGGGUUUAAAGGGCGCGUAGGUUGGUGUUUAAGUCGGCGGUGAAAGUCUGUGGCUCAACCAUAGAAUUGCCGUUGAAACUGGGAGGCUUGAGUAUGUUUGAGGCAGGCAGAAGGCGUGGUGUAGCGGUGAAAUGCUUAGAUAUCACGCAGAACCCCGAUUGCGAAGGCAGCCUGCCAAGCCAUGACUGACGCUGAUGCACGAAAGCGUGGGGAUCAAACAGGAUUAGAUACCCUAGUAGUC